Tupaia belangeri chinensis (Chinese tree shrew) is the source of this 253-nucleotide long non-coding RNA. RefSeq lists it as uncharacterized. The transcript is spliced from 2 exons. The record is from RefSeq and is a predicted model, not a curated record. Lineage: Eukaryota; Metazoa; Chordata; Mammalia; Scandentia; Tupaiidae.
UACGUGGGGCCGCAGCACGCCGGCAACUACACCUGUCGCUACCGUGUGUGGUGGCCCCGGCACCUGCAGUCGGGGCUCAGCGACCCCGUGGAGCUGCUGGUGGCAGGAAGCUGACGCAGCUGACCGCGCCGCAAGUGCUGGCUCCUGUACUGCCUCCGCUUCAUAGCCACUGCGGUCGGCGCCCUAGGGCGGAGGGCUCCCUCCUUCCCCGUAGGACUUAAUAAAAGUGGAAGGAGUCCGCGUUUCUACCGCA